GUCAGAGUUUGAUCCUGGCUCAGAACGAACGCUGGCGGCGUGGAUAAGACAUGCAAGUCGAACGGAAUAUCAUGAGUAGCAAUACGAGUGGUGUUUAGUGGCGAACGGGUGCGUAACACGUGGAUACAUUCCGGGAAGCGGGGGAUAGCCCAGGGAAACUUGGAUUAAUACCGCAUGUGAUCGAAAGAUCAAAGACGGGGACCGCAAGGCCUGUCACUUCCCGGAUUGGUCCGCGGCCUAUCAGCUAGUUGGC
This 253-nucleotide ribosomal RNA is filed under the name uncultured Prosthecobacter sp. Its description in RNAcentral is "partial 16S ribosomal RNA". It matches the Rfam family "Bacterial small subunit ribosomal RNA", at positions 1 to 253 of the family's 1533-position model. The record is from RNAcentral. Lineage: Bacteria; Pseudomonadati; Verrucomicrobiota; Verrucomicrobiia; Verrucomicrobiales; Verrucomicrobiaceae.